UCUUCUUCCUCACGCAUCCGCCCCUCCCCCCCUGCUCGUUUCAGCCGCACAUCGAACUCCCCUUCGCAACCCACCGCAUCUAGCCGCUCAGCGCUCUGGUGCCACCCAGUCAUCCGAUACUCGUUCCCACGUGCCGAAGCCCUUCGACUGUCACAGAUCUGCAUAUGCCAAUCGCGCCUGGGUAGUGAAGCUGUCGAACAUACCAGAUCUGAAGCGCGGUUGAGUCGGCCAGCCGCGUCCGCCUCACCGUCCCUUUCUUCAGCGCCAGCCACUCCCUCAUCCAGUCAAGUUGCUCAUUUAGAUCUUCUCCGCCACCCGAGCUCAGUAGCCGAUCUCUACCGCUGCUCGCCACUGAUCUUGACCAGUUGGCCAACCGCAUCCGUCCAAGCGUCACCCUACUCGUUCAGCCACCGCAGUUCAGUCCCUCGACUGUGUCUCUGGUAUUUGGCUGAAUGUUUGUUGGGUUAGAUUGGAGUUUUGAGAAAAUUCUGAGGUGUUGUCCAGCUUCAUGGAAGGGAAAAUUUUGGUAUGUGUUGAUCCAAGAUUGGAGUAGUUUGGAGUGCGCAACGUGCUGUUCAACGGGUUCGAGUUCGUGUCCAACAAUAAAUUUGGUUUAAGGUCGCUAUCGAUCAGAAUUAGAGGUUUCUUUUCUUGGUGAAUUUUAUGGAGAUUUUGGAGCCAAAUUCUAGAAGUGACCGUUGAUCAAGCCACACUUUAGGCGAACAUGCAAAGAAGAACACUGUAUGACUUGCAGCUCAUGCUUGGAGUUAAUGAAGAUGAGGAAAUAGGUUUUGUGUGAGCAUGAAGGAGAUGGUAGCAUCGCUUAGGUGAUCAGAGGGCUACCGGGGUCAGAUGUGGCCAGAGUAUACCGGGAAGUCCAGAGGAACCUGCGUCUGUAGCGCCACCCAGGCUAUCAAGGGGCUAUCACCGGGGUCAGAUGUGGCCAGAGUAUACCGGGGAGUCCAGAGUAACCUGGUCCUAUGGUGUGUAUUUAUGCUUAGUCUUGAGGCAGCUCUGCGUGCACGUAUGACUUUGUGAUUUGGUUUAAACCAAAGGGGGCAUUCUUUGUCCAUAGUAACCCACUGUUGUAAACGAGUAUUUGGGUACAGAG
Non-coding RNA from Benincasa hispida (wax gourd), 1111 nucleotides. The record is from RefSeq and is a predicted model, not a curated record. Lineage: Eukaryota; Viridiplantae; Streptophyta; Magnoliopsida; Cucurbitales; Cucurbitaceae.